AAAUUGAAGAGUUUGAUCAUGGCUCAGAUUGAACGCUGGCGGCAGGCCUAACACAUGCAAGUCGAACGGUAACAGAAAGCAGCUUGCUGCUUUGCUGACGAGUGGCGGACGGGUGAGUAACGUCUGGGAAACUGCCUGAUGGAGGGGGAUAACUACUGGAAACGGUAGCUAAUACCGCAUAAUGUCGCAAGACCAAAGAGGGGGACCUUCGGGCCUCUUGCCAUCGGAUGUGCCCAGAUGGGAUUAGCUUGUUGGUGGGGUAACGGCUCACC
This 272-nucleotide ribosomal RNA is filed under the name Escherichia coli. RNAcentral describes it as "partial 16S ribosomal RNA". It matches the Rfam family "Bacterial small subunit ribosomal RNA", at positions 1 to 269 of the family's 1533-position model. Lineage: Bacteria; Pseudomonadati; Pseudomonadota; Gammaproteobacteria; Enterobacterales; Enterobacteriaceae. The record is from RNAcentral.